RNAcentral lists this transfer RNA (63 nucleotides) under Elateroidea sp. 1 KM-2017. RNAcentral describes it as "tRNA-Tyr". Lineage: Eukaryota; Metazoa; Arthropoda; Insecta; Coleoptera. The record is from RNAcentral.
AGUAAAAUGGCCGAGGUUGAGGCGAUAAAUUGUAAAUUUAUUCACGAAUUUUAUUCUUUUACU